RNAcentral lists this ribosomal RNA (405 nucleotides) under uncultured bacterium. RNAcentral describes it as "bacterial SSU rRNA". It matches the Rfam family "Bacterial small subunit ribosomal RNA", at positions 370 to 772 of the family's 1533-position model. The record is from RNAcentral.
AAUGCCCGAAAGGGUGACCCAGCAACGCCGCGUGAAGGAUGGAGGCCGUAAGGUUGUAAACUUCUUUUGUAUGGGACGAAAAAGCUUGUUGAUAGCAAGCAUUGACGGUACCUUAAGAAAAAGCCCCGGCUAACUACGUGCCAGCAGCCGCGGUAAUACGUAGGGGGCAAGCGUUGUCCGGAUUUACUGGGUGUAAAGGGCGCGUAGGCGGGUUUGUAAGUCAGCGGUGAAAUCCUAUAGCUUAACUAUAGAACUGCCGUUGAUACUGCAAGUCUUGAGUUUGGAAGAGAGUAGCGGAAUUCCAGGUGUAGUAGUGAAAUACGUAGAUAUCUGGAAGAACACCAGUGGCGAAGGCGGCUACUUGGUCCAUAACUGACGCUGAGGCGCGAAAGCGUGGGGAGCAAA